ACUGGGAGCUGCAGACCAGAGCUGUUCCUAUUCAGCCAUCUUGCCGGCCACUUCCUAAUCCUUGUAUUUUUAUGUGAACUACUUGCAUGGUGCUAAUAUUUGAAAUCAAUAGUAAUUAUUGAAAGAUCUCCCUAGAUACAAAGCAUGGUGCCAGGCACUGUUAAAGAAUAGAAGAUGUAGAUCCUGUUUUUCAGGUGCUUACAAUCUAGUAAAAUAGGACAUAGACCGAGGAAGAGUAAAUAAUGACAGCAGUUCAGUUCAAAGUGAGGCAGUGCUGCAAGGAAGUGCAUGACCAGUGGCCACAUGAGUUAGCUGUACCAAAAAUCUAUGAAAGUUUUGAGGAGGAAGGCUCGUUUUAGAUUGAGCUUUAUAGAGAAGAUGACAAUUGAAUCAAGUCAUCAAGGGUAGGAAGGAUGUGGAUAUAUGAAGGUAAAGAAGGUUGGGUAUUCCAAGUCUUGACAUCUCUUCCAUUAAAAUCUUUUAAAAGGAAGCUGGAUAAUUUUCUCUGAUGAUCUGUUACCCAUGACCCAACAUACUGAUACCAGUUUAAAACUCUUCUCUGCCCUUCACUAUUUUUUCGUGCUCCCUAAAUGGCCAGCCAACUAACAGGGAUUGGAGGAAGGGAGUGGUGGUCAAGAAACAAAGAAGAUGAGAGAAUAAAGUCCUCCAGGGAGACCUGAUAGUGGUUGUGUUUAAUUUUACAUUUUAACAUGGAUCAGGAUGAAAUACAUCCUCUUCACACCAUGCAAUUUACAACCCAUUUAAAACAAAAAAUGAUUAUCUAGGCCAGGCGCUGUGGCUCACACCUGUAGUCCCAGCACUUUGGGAGGGUGAGGUGGGUGGAUCACCUGAGGUUAGCAGUUUGAGACCAGCCUGACCAACAUGGAGAAACCCCAUCUCUACUAAAAAUACAAAAUUAGCUGGGCAUGGUGGCGGAUGCCUGUAAUCCCAGCUACUCAGGAGGCUGAGGCAGGAGAAUUGCUUGAACCUGGGAGGCAGAGGUUGCGGUGAGCUGAGAUUGCACCAUUGCACUCCAGCCUGGGCAACAAGUGCAAAACUCCAUCUCAAAAAAAAAAAAAAAAAA
Molecule: long non-coding RNA, 1084 nt
Filed under: Macaca fascicularis (crab-eating macaque)
Lineage: Eukaryota; Metazoa; Chordata; Mammalia; Primates; Cercopithecidae
Description: lncRNA (ENSMFAG00000060235.1)
Source: RNAcentral